This 57-nucleotide transfer RNA is filed under the name Dipodomys ordii (Ord's kangaroo rat). It matches the Rfam family "tRNA", at positions 8 to 63 of the family's 71-position model. From Rfam's summary of the family: Transfer RNA (tRNA) molecules are approximately 80 nucleotides in length. Their secondary structure includes four short double-helical elements and three loops (D, anti-codon, and T loops). Lineage: Eukaryota; Metazoa; Chordata; Mammalia; Rodentia; Heteromyidae. The record is from Rfam by way of RNAcentral.
UGGCUCAGUGGUAGAGCGCUUGCCUUGUAUGCAUGAGGCCCUGGGUUGGACUCCCAG